Molecule: ribosomal RNA, 112 nt
Organism: Cricetulus griseus (Chinese hamster)
Lineage: Eukaryota; Metazoa; Chordata; Mammalia; Rodentia; Cricetidae
Source: Ensembl
GUCUAAGGCCAUACCACCGUAACCGCACCCAGUCUCAUCUGAUCUUGGAGGCGAAGCACUGUUGAGCCUGGUUAGUAGCUGGGUGGGAGGGAAAUGAUGUGGUGCAUAGCCA